RNAcentral lists this ribosomal RNA (1391 nucleotides) under Streptomyces sp. Ru73. RNAcentral's name for it is "bacterial LSU rRNA". It matches the Rfam family "Bacterial large subunit ribosomal RNA", at positions 1562 to 2925 of the family's 2925-position model. Lineage: Bacteria; Bacillati; Actinomycetota; Actinomycetes; Kitasatosporales; Streptomycetaceae. The record is from RNAcentral.
CCUGAUGCCGAGCCGAUUGUGGUGAAGUGGAUGAUCCUAUGCUGUCGAGAAAAGCCUCUAGCGAGUUUCAUGGCGGCCCGUACCCUAAACCGACUCAGGUGGUCAGGUAGAGAAUACCGAGGCGUUCGGGUGAACUAUGGUUAAGGAACUCGGCAAAAUGCCCCCGUAACUUCGGGAGAAGGGGGGCCAUUGCUGGUGAUGAGGUUUUCCCUCUGAGCUGGUGGUGGCCGCAGAGACCAGCGAGAAGCGACUGUUUACUAAAAACACAGGUCCGUGCGAAGCCGUAAGGCGAUGUAUACGGACUGACGCCUGCCCGGUGCUGGAACGUUAAGGGGACCGGUUAGCUGACCUUCGGGUCGGCGAAGCUGAGAACUUAAGCGCCAGUAAACGGCGGUGGUAACUAUAACCAUCCUAAGGUAGCGAAAUUCCUUGUCGGGUAAGUUCCGACCUGCACGAAUGGCGUAACGACUUCUCGACUGUCUCAACCAUAGGCCCGGUGAAAUUGCACUACGAGUAAAGAUGCUCGUUUCGCGCAGCAGGACGGAAAGACCCCGGGACCUUUACUAUAGCUUGAUAUUGGUGUUCGGUUCGGCUUGUGUAGGAUAGGUGGGAGACUGUGAACCCUGGACGCCAGUUCAGGGGGAGUCAUUGUUGAAAUACCACUCUGGUCGUGCUGGAUGUCUAACCUGGGUCCGUGAUCCGGAUCAGGGACAGUGUCUGGUGGGUAGUUUAACUGGGGCGGUUGCCUCCCAAAGGGUAACGGAGGCGCCCAAAGGUUCCCUCAGCCUGGUUGGCAAUCAGGUGUUGAGUGUAAGUGCACAAGGGAGCUUGACUGUGAGACUGACGGGUCGAGCAGGGACGAAAGUCGGGACUAGUGAUCCGGCGGUGGCUUGUGGAAGCGCCGUCGCUCAACGGAUAAAAGGUACCCCGGGGAUAACAGGCUGAUCUUCCCCAAGAGUCCAUAUCGACGGGAUGGUUUGGCACCUCGAUGUCGGCUCGUCGCAUCCUGGGGCUGGAGUCGGUCCCAAGGGUUGGGCUGUUCGCCCAUUAAAGCGGUACGCGAGCUGGGUUUAGAACGUCGUGAGACAGUUCGGUCCCUAUCCGCUGUGCGCGUAGGAGUAUUGAGAAGGGCUGUCCCUAGUACGAGAGGACCGGGACGGACGAACCUCUGGUGUGCCAGUUGUCCUGCCAAGGGCAUGGCUGGUUGGCUACGUUCGGGAGGGAUAACCGCUGAAAGCAUCUAAGCGGGAAGCCUGCUUCGAGAUGAGUGCUCCCACCUCCUUGAGAGGGUAAGGCUCCCAGUAGACGACUGGGUUGAUAGGCCAGAUAUGGAAGCCCGGUAACGGGUGGAGUUGACUGGUACUAAUAGGCCGAGGGCUUGUCCUCAGUUG